RNAcentral lists this ribosomal RNA (289 nucleotides) under uncultured prokaryote. RNAcentral's name for it is "partial 16S ribosomal RNA". It matches the Rfam family "Bacterial small subunit ribosomal RNA", at positions 505 to 793 of the family's 1533-position model. The record is from RNAcentral.
GUGUCAGCCGCCGCGGUAAUACGGAGGAUGCAAGCGUUAUCCGGAAUUAUUGGGCGUAAAGCGUCCGCAGGUGGCACAUCAAGUCUGCUGUUAAAGGUUGGGGCUAAACCCCAGGAAGGCAGUGGAAACUGGUGAGCUAGAGUACGGUAGGGGUUGAGGGAAUUCCCAGUGUAGCGGUGAAAUGCGUAGAUAUUGGGAAGAACACCAGUGGCGAAGGCGCUCAACUGGGCCGAAACUGACACUGAGGGACGAAAGCUAAGGGAGCGAAAGGGAUUAGAAACCCUCGUAG